UUGNAGGGGACCGGCGUCCNUUUGNAGUGCAAGAACAACGAGAUUUUUUUCUGUAGCAAUACAGGAAAAAGUCUAGUGGCGAACGGGUGCGUAACACGUGAGCAACCUGCCGUGAAGUGGGGGAUAGCUCGCCGAAAGGCGAAUUAAUACCGCAUAUGGCCAAGGAAGACAUCUUCCUGACGCCAAAGCCGGGGUAACCUGGCGCUUCUCGAGGGGCUCGCGGCCUAUCAGCUUGUUGGUGAGGUAACGGCUCACCAAGGCUAUGACGGGUAGCUGGUCUGAGAGGACGACCAGCCACACUGGAACUGAGACACGGUCCAGACACCUACGGGUGGCAGCAGUCGAGAAUUUUUCACAAUGGGGGAAACCCUGAUGGAGCGACGCCGCGUGGAGGAUGAAGGUUUUCGGAUUGUAAACUCCUGUCAUUAGAGAACAAGGCACAUGGUUUAACUGGCCGUGUGUUGAUAGUAUCUGAAGAGGAAGGGACGGCUAACUCUGUGCCAGCAGCCGCGGUAAUACAGAGGUCUCAAGCGUUGUUCGGAUUCAUUGGGGCGUAAGGGUGCGUAGGUGGCGAGGUAAGUCGGAUGUGAAAUCUCCAAGCUCAACUUGGAAACUGCAUUCGAUACUGCUUUGCUAGAGGAUUGUAGAGGGCAUUGGAAUUUCACGUGUAGCAGUGAAAUGCGUAGAUAUCGUGAGGAAGACCAGUGGCGAGGCGAAUGCCCUGGCAAUUCUGACACUGANGCACGAGGGCANNGGGAGCAACGGNAUUAGAUACCCCGUAGUCCUGG
Molecule: ribosomal RNA, 788 nt
Filed under: uncultured Verrucomicrobiales bacterium
Lineage: Bacteria; Pseudomonadati; Verrucomicrobiota; Verrucomicrobiia; Verrucomicrobiales
Description: bacterial SSU rRNA
Rfam family: Bacterial small subunit ribosomal RNA
Source: RNAcentral